Molecule: ribosomal RNA, 104 nt
Filed under: uncultured bacterium
Lineage: Bacteria
Description: partial 16S ribosomal RNA
Source: RNAcentral
CGACCGCGUGGAGGAUGAAGGGUACUUUUGGUAGUUUGUAAAACUCCUUUCGAUCGGGACGAUUAUGACGGUACCGGAAGAAGAAGCACCGGCUAACUCUGUGC